CUACGGAGGGUGCAAGCGUUACUCGGAAUCACUGGGCGUAAAGCGCGCGCAGGCGGUCUUUUAAGUUGGAUGUGAAAGCCUACGGCUCAACCGUAGAACUGCAUCCAAAACUAUUAGACUAGAGUGUGGGAGAGGAAGAUGGAAUUAGUUGUGUAGGGGUAAAAUCCGUAGAGAUAACUAGGAAUACCAAAAGCGAAGGCAAUCUUCUGGAACACUACUGACGCUGAGGCGCGAAAGCGUGGGGAGCAAACGGGAUUAGAAACCCCGUAGUCC
RNAcentral lists this ribosomal RNA (273 nucleotides) under uncultured bacterium. RNAcentral's name for it is "partial 16S ribosomal RNA". It matches the Rfam family "Bacterial small subunit ribosomal RNA", at positions 523 to 796 of the family's 1533-position model. The record is from RNAcentral.